This 5649-nucleotide long non-coding RNA is filed under the name Equus asinus (donkey). RNAcentral's name for it is "lncRNA (ENSEASG00005030980.1)". Lineage: Eukaryota; Metazoa; Chordata; Mammalia; Perissodactyla; Equidae. The record is from RNAcentral.
GCAUGCUCCACUUUGGCAGCCUGGGUUCGGUUCUUGGGCGCAGAACCACACCACUCGACUGUCAGUAGCCAUGCUGUGGUGGUCCUCACAUAGAAGAAGUGGAAGGACUAACAACCAGAAUAUACAGCUAUGUACUGGGGCUUUGGGGAGGAAAAAAAAGAAAAAGGAAGAUUGGCAACAGAUGUUAGCUCAGAGCAAAUCUUUCCCAGCAAGAAGAAAUAAAUAAAAUACUCAUUCAAAACAAAUAGUGCAUCUAAGAUAUUUUCUGAACUUUUCCAUUACCUCAGUUGAAGAAAGAGUGUGGUCUUAAACACAAGGGUCACAGCUCCUGUCCUGUGCCACCUGCCCACAAAGCCUGUGAUUGUUAAGGAAUGAACACUUGCAUAACUGUAAAAAAUUUUGCAUCAGCUUAAAUUGCAAGAUUGAAGAUAGGAUGAGUCCUCAGGCAUUUGGAUUCUUCUCUUUUUCUUUUAUCAUUUUCUUUGAAUUGCAAAGAAUAAUUAUUAGUUCAAGUCAGUCUCUUAAAAAAUUGUAUGCAUCAAUCACGAGCAAGACUUAAUCCGCUUGCUCAGUGCAAUCCGGUAAGAAAUUUACACACCCACCUAUUCUCAGCAUCGUACUGCACUGGGUAAAUAGCAAGAAUUUCCGCUUCUUCAUUAUUCCCAGAUGGUGCUGGCUGAUCCUAUCCCUGACAGCCACACACGUGUUCCGGUAGAAGCACAGCUUGGUUAUAUAAUCCUGUCUUGUGACCUCUAAAUCACAUGCUCUGCGUCUGCACCCAUUCAAGCUGCGGUUACCAUCCUCCUGUUGUUUCAGACAUGUCUUUGUGUUGCUGCCCUGCGGGUCUGAAGGUGGUGCCGUUAUGUGGAGCUCCAGGUGUGCCGGUGGGAUGGAAGGAUCAGGUGGUGUGGGCCUUCUCUGCCCCUCAGCACACACCUGAAUCAGCUUUUUAUUUGCCAUGACUACAUGCAAGGUCCAGUCGCAUCUGUAGCGUUGCUCCCGCCAAACAAACUAGCAGGGGUUGUGGUCUCUCGGGUUACACUUUUCUUCCCCAGGGGUUCUGGAUUUGAGAAGCCUGUGGAGAGUAGACCAUGGCUCCUCGAUGCUGCUGCUGAAACUGCUCAAAAGCCGGAGAUGGCAGUAAUGAUGACAUUAAUUGUGGCAAAGAUGUUGCAGGUCCUUCCAGUUGUGGCAUAUGGGACGCCGUCUCAACGUGCCUGAUGAGCAGUGCCAUGUCCGCGCCCAGGAUCCGAACCAGCGAAACCCUGGGCCGCCACAGCAGAGCACGCGAACUUAACCACUCGGCCAUGGGGUGGCCCCUCCAUCAUAUUCUUGUCCAUGUUUAUCCUCAUGUUGUCAUUUUUCGGUUUUUUUGUUUUGUUAAGAUAAGAUGUAGAUAGGAUAUCUCUGAAGCUUUGUCACAUUCGACUGGAAGCAAAGGCUACUGGAUCUGAUGGCCAGAAGGUCGGGCUGGGCCAGGGGUGGAGACCGUGGCGGCCUGAACAGGUCCGUGCUCUGUUGGAUGUGUUGAGUGUGAAGAGAAAGAAAGACAUGAGGAAGUAGUUUGAUGCGGUAGAUUUUUUAGAGUGUAUGUUUACACACGUGGGGCAGGAUCCAGUGGUGGGGAGAAAACCGGAGCAGAGAGGGGGAAGGCUCAUUGAUGAGCGGGUCCUGCGGGAGACGGGGGAAGAGGCACUGACAGCCCUCGGGGAGGCUGAGCUCUGGAAUGCAGAGGAAGAUGUAGAAAGGAAGAAAGGAUGGCGAUCAAGAGAAAGUUUCAGUGGAACCCGCGUCCUCGUCUCAUUUACAACACCAGUAUUUGGAGCUGUGGGGUUGGCGGAACAUGUAUGUUACAUUUUCUAUGAUAAAAUAAUGUUAACCUACAUUUGGUAGCCUUUAGGCUUUUUAUAAGCCAGCAAGGGUGUGGAGUGAACCAUUAGAAACAGUGAUGUGAUUUUUAUUGAGAAGAAACGAGGUGAAAGUGAGGGCUGGCCUCCGACCUCAGCUGUGACUGAGGAUUAGCUUAGCGUGUGUGACGAAGGCCUGUCUUAGAGCGUCCCCAGAGUUUUAGCUCCUGUGACCAUCCCCGAGCGAGGGACUUGACUUGAUAACACGGACAGGCGGUGGCGUUCCUGAGAAACACCAGGGAACAGUUACAUCUUUAGCUCCCCAGGUUCUGCCACGGCGCGUUUUCUGGCCUGAACAUAUCGACCUGAGCCUAAGUGCAGACACUUCAGCCAGCCUCCUGGUUAAGCUAUGUCGUUUUUUUCCUCUUCCGAGUCUCCAGAAGGCCCAGAACAUACUCUGGGGUCAGUGGUUUCGUGGGGGCACUUGAAACAACAUAAACAAUACAGUGAUGGUGAUUAACUCUGUGUGGGAUGUACCGCUUCAGAUGCCUUCACAGAGCAGAGAGGCAGCAGAGCUUUGCUACCAGCACAGACUCCGGAAUCAGACAUCCUGGAUUCAGACACUCUCUGUGUGACCUGGGAGUUCAUUCUGGUUCCUCUAAGCCUUAGCUUUCUCGCCUCUAAAGUGAAAGUCCCGCCACCCACCACAGAGGAACCUGUCACAACGAUUAAACGAGAGAACCCGUGUCUGUUCAUUCAGCAAGUGUUUGUGAACACCUCUGUGCCUGGCCCUGAACAGCCUAGACGAAAACUUCAGACUUGUAGCUGGAGAGACAGACCGUAAGAACUGGCUGUGAGGGGCUGGCCCGGUGGUGUAGUGGCUAAGUUUGCGUGCUCUGGUUUGGCAGCCUGGGGUUCACAGGUUCAGAUCCCUGGCACGGACCUGUGUACCACUUUUCAAGCCACGCUGUGGCAGCAUCCCACAUAAAAUAGAGGAAGAUGGACACAGAUGUUAGCUCAGGGCCAAUCUUCCUCACACACACACACAAAAAACAAAAACUGGCUCGGUGUGUGAAGCAUUAGAUGGUGAUGAGCGCUGGGAAGAAGAUACAGCAGGGAGGGGCAGGGGGCAGAGCCGGGCAGGGGACUCGUGGUGCCACCUGAGCACAGAAGCACAUAUGCUGUGAGGGGAGGGCGGGCGGCCCUCUGGGUGGACAUUCCAGGCAGCGUGGACGCAGUGGUACCAGCCUGAGGAGGCCUUGCGUCUGCCGGGUGAGAGGAAGGGGAAGGAAGCCACUGUGGCCACAAGUGAGUAAGCGAGGCGGGAGGGUGGGACGUGAGGCAGAAAGGUGGGUUUGGGGGCCGAGUCACGCAGGCCCUUUGGGGCCUUUUCACUCGGGGAGAAGGAGGAGGCCAUAUGCGCGUUCUGAGCAGAAGAGUGAUUAAAUCAGACCCAGUUUUUAACAGGGUCAUUCUGAGUGUUGGGUGGAAGCAAAGAGCCCAGUUAGGAGGCCAUUGCUACACUUUAUGUGAGAUGUGAUGGGAACUUGGACCAGGGUGAUGAGGCAGAGGUGGGAGAAGGUAUAGGGUGUGUUUUGAAGGUAAAUCGACAGGAUUUGGAUGCCAGGUGUGAGAGAAAUAGAAAAAGUGCAAUCUCCGGGCCUGAGCAUACGGAAGGAUAGAAUUGCCACUUACUGGGUCAUGACAGACAGUGGGGAGCAAGCUGUCGGGGAAGGUCAGGGGUUUGGGUUCAGACGUUUGUUGAGCAAAUUGCCCAUUAGACACCCGAGUGGGAGUCCAGGAGGCAGUGGGUGAGGUCUGGAGUUCACACAGGGUCCAGGCUGCAGGUGUCUGGGAGUUUGCAUUUCUAACAAGCUCCCUGGGGACGCAGAUGUGGGUGCUGCUGUGUGGAGCCCACGUUUUGAGAAGCACUGGAAUAGGGAAAUACGGUGGGACUGGCAGGCCACCUGAGAGAGGCGCUGAGGUUCCAUGUCCUGCCGUUCUGUCCAGCCGUAGCCAGCUGCUCAGGAUCAGGUCCAGAGCAGGCGCAAGGUUAGAUUGCACCACGAUAGGGGUGAAAUUAUUCCAGGUAAAUAGAGCAAAGGGUUACUCAGCACAGCGUCUAGUACGUGGUACCUGCCCCAAACCUAAGUUACUACCCAGCACCAGCCUGCCCUUAGGAUCCUGCCUCCCAGCGGACAGAGGACCCUCUCCCCGGCUCUGGGCCCCCACACCUGAGUCUGGCUUUAUGACCUUGGGCGAGUUUCUCAGCAUCUCCAAGCUUUCGUCUCUUCAUCUGUAAGAUGACCCACUAACCACCCUGCUUCAUAGAGUUUUGGGGAACUUUACCCGAGAGUCUGCAUGCGAACCGCUCAGUACAAGUCCGUCACACAGGAGCGGCAGACGUCAACAAUCCUCAGAGGCCCGCAGAGGAGGAGGUGCUGGAUGCAAAUGAGCUCUUGGCGUAAAUCUGUCCACCGAAGCCCACAGCCGGCAGAGUCUUCCAGAUUCACGGGAGGCUGCCACCUCACCUCCCAGCUCCGGGAGCUGCUGUCUUUGCUGCGGUCAGGAAGCCGGAAGAACCAGGAAGUCCCCAAGGGAGAAGUGGUCACCUUCCUGACAGUGUUUGCCAGCAGGAGCGUGGGUUCCUCUUCAAACUCGAGUGAUUAGCAAAAUCCAACUCCCAUCCGGAAAUCCAGCUCUAAGGGAGCCCAGGAAGUGUGGUUUAUAACUUUGCUGCUUCUGCAGUGUUACGAAAGCACGUGAAAAGGAGGCUGGAAUGGAUCUCGAGUGCCGCCCACACCAGCCAUGCUUGGUGUUACCAAAAUACCUUCCAAAAUCUACCACAUAUGAAAUUGCCUGAUUUCUCCACAGCAUCACCAAAGCUGUGUGUUAUCACCCUCUUAUUUUCUAUUAACUUGAGAGAAUGUUCUGUUGUUUUAAUUUUGCAUUUCUUUAAUUAUGAAUCAGACUGAAGAUCUUUAGCUUUGUUUAUUGGCCAUUUCUAUUUCUUUUUCGUAAUUUUUUCUGUAUUAGUUAGCUAUUACCUAGUGACAAACUAUCCCAAAACUCAGUGGCUUAAAACAACCACUAUUAAUUCUUUCUCAGGAGUCUGCAGGUCAUCCAGGUGGUUCUGCAGAUGCUGGCUGACUCAGCUGAUAGCUGGGCUCGCGUGUGUGUCUGCGGUCAGCUGGUGGGUCGCUCGAGCUGGCAGGUAUAGAGUAGAGCUGGCUGUGCUGGAUGUGGUCUCUGCCUCCAUCGGGCCAGCCCAGGCUUAUUUUCAUGAUGAUGGCAGGGAUGCAAGAGAGGAAGGAGAAAGACUCAAGUGCUUUUCUCAUCUCUGUUCUGUUUGUGCAGGUACUUCCAUCCCAUUAGCCAAAGCAAAUCCCAUGGCCAAGUGCAGCCCCAGUGUGAGAGGGCCCCACCCAGUGCCUGGACGCAGAGAGGCCAUUGAUUGGCACCAGCCGUGAAGUCAGUCUUGUGCAUUAUCUUUUGAUUGUUGUUUGCCUUGUCUUGUUGAUUUGUAAGAAUCUUUUAUAUUGAGUUAAUUAACUCUACACAAAAUUCAGAUAGUAACAAUAAAAUUUUGGGUAUACACUUAUAAGUGAAAAAACAAGAACAGACUACAGCAUUGGAGAAAUCUCCUAUAUAUCUCCUUUUUUAAAAAAAUGCUUUUGAAUAGGUGUGGACGUACACAGAGGCUAACACACUUGAGUGGGAAGCACGUUCAGCUUGGGUGUGGUGGGCCUUUCUAUUUUGAUUACAGUCUGUGAUAACAUUAAGGCAGGGCUUUCAUCCGUGC